RNAcentral lists this ribosomal RNA (453 nucleotides) under Terrahaemophilus aromaticivorans. Its description in RNAcentral is "bacterial SSU rRNA". It matches the Rfam family "Bacterial small subunit ribosomal RNA", at positions 30 to 478 of the family's 1533-position model. The record is from RNAcentral. Lineage: Bacteria; Pseudomonadati; Pseudomonadota; Gammaproteobacteria; Pasteurellales; Pasteurellaceae.
AUUGAACGCUGGCGGCAGGCUUAACACAUGCAAGUCGAACGGUAACAUGAAGAAGCUUGCUUCUUUGAUGACGAGUGGCGGACGGGUGAGUAAUGCUUGGGAAUCUAGCUUAUGGAGGGGGAUAACUACGGGAAACUGUAGCUAAUACCGCGUAGAAUCGAGAGAUGAAAGUGUGGGACCUUCGGGCCACAUGCCAUAGGAUGAGCCCAAGUGGGAUUAGGUAGUUGGUGAGGUAAAGGCUCACCAAGCCGACGAUCUCUAGCUGGUCUGAGAGGAUGACCAGCCACACUGGGACUGAGACCUGGCCCAGACUCCUACGGGAGGCAGCAGUGGGGCAAUAUUGCGCAAUGGGGGCAACCCUGACGCAGCCAUGCCGCGUGAAUGAAGAAGGCCUUCGGGUUGUAAAGUUCUUUCGGUAGCGAGGGAAGGCAUUUAUGUUUAAUAUGAUCUAAG